AGAAUCAACGCUGGCGGCGUGCCUAACACAUGCAAGUCGCACGAGAAAGGGGAGCAAUCCCUGAGUACAGUGGCGCACGGGUGAGUAACACGUGAAUAAUCUACCUCCGAGUGGGGAAUAACUGAGAGAAAUCUUAGCUAAUACCGCAUAACACUUACGAGUCAAAGCAGCAAUGCGCUUGGAGAGGAGUUCGCGGCCGAUUAGUUAGUUGGCGGGGUAAUGGCCCACCAAGACGAUGAUCGGUAUCCGGCCUGAGAGGGCGCACGGACACACUGGAACUGAAACACGGUCCAGACUCCUACGGAGGCAGCAGUGGGGAAUUUUGCGCAAUGGGGGAAACCCUGACGCAGCAACGCCGCGUGGAGGAUGAAGCCCCUUGGGGUGUAAACUCCUUUCGAUCGGGAAGAUAAUGACGGUACCGAUAUAAGAAGCCCGGCUAACUUCGUGCCAGCAGCCGCGGU
Molecule: ribosomal RNA, 461 nt
Filed under: uncultured bacterium
Lineage: Bacteria
Description: SSU rRNA
Rfam family: Bacterial small subunit ribosomal RNA
Source: RNAcentral